Haliotis rubra (blacklip abalone) is the source of this 303-nucleotide long non-coding RNA. RefSeq lists it as uncharacterized. The record is from RefSeq and is a predicted model, not a curated record. NCBI's taxonomy places the organism in Eukaryota, Metazoa, Mollusca, Gastropoda, Lepetellida, Haliotidae. The transcript is spliced from 3 exons.
GAAAGAGAAGCAUCUUUGGUGCCAGGUCUCAUUAGCAUUCGCUUUAUCUGGGGCGGAAGCAACAGGACGCAGAAAACCUGUUAGAUUCAGCGGCAGUUGCAUUUUUUGAGAAGCAGGACAGUUCAGAUAACUCAAGAUGGUGGCAGGAUGCGGUGCCAACUGCAUGAAGUAUACGCUCUUCAUCUUCAACAUCCUCUUCUUCUUGGCAGGGGUGGUGCUUGCGGCUGUCGGCGGGUACUUGAUGUUCACAGCUGAUGCCUUGGCAGCAAGCCUGGACCAGAACGAUUUGUCAGAAACGGCCCG